RNAcentral lists this ribosomal RNA (805 nucleotides) under uncultured bacterium. RNAcentral describes it as "bacterial SSU rRNA". It matches the Rfam family "Bacterial small subunit ribosomal RNA", at positions 60 to 878 of the family's 1533-position model. The record is from RNAcentral.
AGUCGAACGGAAGUUAGAGCUUCGGUUUUAACUUUAGUGGCGAACGGGUGAGUAACGCGUGAGGAACCUGCCUUUCAGUGGGGGACAACAGUUGGAAACGACUGCUAAUACCGCAUGAUGCUUUUGGGAGACAUCUCCUGGAAGCCAAAGCUUUAUGUGCUGAAAGAUGGCCUCGCGUCUGAUUAGCUAGUUGGUGAGGUAACGGCUCACCAAGGCGACGAUCAGUAGCCGGUCUGAGAGGAUGAACGGCCACAUUGGGACUGAGAUACGGCCCAGACUCCUACGGGAGGCAGCAGUGGGGAAUAUUGGGCAAUGGGGGAAACCCUGACCCAGCAACGCCGCGUGAAGGAAGAAGGCCUUCGGGUUGUAAACUUCUUUUACCAGGGACGAAGGACGUGACGGUACCUGGAGAAAAAGCAACGGCUAACUACGUGCCAGCAGCCGCGGUAAUACGUAGGUUGCAAGCGUUGUCCGGAUUUACUGGGUGUAAAGGGCGUGUAGGCGGAGAUGCAAGUUGGGAGUGAAAUCCAUGGGCUCAACCCAUGAACUGCUCUCAAAACUGUAUCCCUUGAGUAUCGGAGAGGCAAGCGGAAUUCCUAGUGUAGCGGUGAAAUGCGUAGAUAUUAGGAGGAACACCAGUGGCGAAGGCGGCUUGCUGGACGACAACUGACGCUGAGGCGCGAAAGCGUGGGGAGCAAACAGGAUUAGAUACCCUGGUAGUCCACGCUGUAAACGAUGAAUACUAGGUGUGGGAGGACUGACCCCUUCCGUGCCGCAGUUAACACAAUAAGUAUUCCACCUGGGG